This 790-nucleotide ribosomal RNA is filed under the name Streptomyces sp. I07A-00507. Its description in RNAcentral is "bacterial SSU rRNA". It matches the Rfam family "Bacterial small subunit ribosomal RNA", at positions 39 to 845 of the family's 1533-position model. The record is from RNAcentral. Lineage: Bacteria; Bacillati; Actinomycetota; Actinomycetes; Kitasatosporales; Streptomycetaceae.
GCGGCGUGCUUACACAUGCAAGUCGAACGAUGAAGCCCUUCGGGGUGGAUUAGUGGCGAACGGGUGAGUAACACGUGGGCAAUCUGCCCUGCACUCUGGGACAAGCCCUGGAAACGGGGUCUAAUACCGGAUGAUACUUCUUCCCGCAUGGGGGGAGGUUGAAAGCUCCGGCGGUGCAGGAUGAGCCCGCGGCCUAUCAGCUUGUUGGUGGGGUGAUGGCCUACCAAGGCGACGACGGGUAGCCGGCCUGAGAGGGCGACCGGCCACACUGGGACUGAGACACGGCCCAGACUCCUACGGGAGGCAGCAGUGGGGAAUAUUGCACAAUGGGCGAAAGCCUGAUGCAGCGACGCCGCGUGAGGGAUGACGGCCUUCGGGUUGUAAACCUCUUUCAGCAGGGAAGAAGCGAAAGUGACGGUACCUGCAGAAGAAGCGCCGGCUAACUACGUGCCAGCAGCCGCGGUAAUACGUAGGGCGCAAGCGUUGUCCGGAAUUAUUGGGCGUAAAGAGCUCGUAGGCGGCUUGUCACGUCGGAUGUGAAAGCCCGGGGCUUAACCCCGGGUCUGCAUUCGAUACGGGCAGGCUAGAGUGUGGUAGGGGAGAUCGGAAUUCCUGGUGUAGCGGUGAAAUGCGCAGAUAUCAGGAGGAACACCGGUGGCGAAGGCGGAUCUCUGGGCCAUUACUGACGCUGAGGAGCGAAAGCGUGGGGAGCGAACAGGAUUAGAUACCCUGGUAGUCCACGCCGUAAACGUUGGGAACUAGGUGUUGGCGACAUUCCACGUCGUCGGUG